AACCCAAUACGGUGAUAAGCGGUUUUCUAAUCCGCCGGUCACAGGUUCGAAUCCUGUCGGGGUCGCCA
RNAcentral lists this transfer RNA (68 nucleotides) under Rhodospirillaceae bacterium. RNAcentral's name for it is "tRNA-Ser". Lineage: Bacteria; Pseudomonadati; Pseudomonadota; Alphaproteobacteria; Rhodospirillales; Rhodospirillaceae. RNAcentral also lists the same sequence under 1 other name. The record is from RNAcentral.